GCGGAGAUGAAUGAUAAAUGAUAUCAAGAGCUUGUCGGGUAAGUUCUUGAAUUUUAUAGAUUUUCAAAAAACCACCGGGCUAGGCUCAUAACCUGAAGGUCGUAGGUUCAAAUCCUACUCCCGCG
Molecule: transfer RNA, 125 nt
Filed under: Devosia sp. YIM 151766
Lineage: Bacteria; Pseudomonadati; Pseudomonadota; Alphaproteobacteria; Hyphomicrobiales; Devosiaceae
Description: tRNA-OTHER
Source: RNAcentral